GAUGAACGCUGGCGGCGUGCCUAAUACAUGCAAGUCGAGCGAACAGACGAGGAGCUUGCUCCUCUGACGUUAGCGGCGGACGGGUGAGUAACACGUGGAUAACCUACCUAUAAGACUGGGAUAACUUCGGGAAACCGGAGCUAAUACCGGAUAAUAUAUUGAACCGCAUGGUUCAAUAGUGAAAGACGGUUUUGCUGUCACUUAUAGAUGGAUCCGCGCCGCAUUAGCUAGUUGGUAAGGUAACGGCUUACCAAGGCAACGAUGCGUAGCCGACCUGAGAGGGUGAUCGGCCACACUGGAACUGAGACACGGUCCAGACUCCUACGGGAGGCAGCAGUAGUGAAUCUUCCGCAAUGGGCGAAAGCUUGACGGAGCAACGCCGCGUGAGUGAUGAAGGUCUUCGGAUCGUAAAACUCUGUUAUUAGGGAAGAACAAAUGUGUAAGUAACUAUGCACGUCUUGACGGUACCUAAUCAGAAAGCCACGGCUAACUACGUG
Molecule: ribosomal RNA, 497 nt
Filed under: uncultured bacterium
Lineage: Bacteria
Description: partial 16S ribosomal RNA
Rfam family: Bacterial small subunit ribosomal RNA
Source: RNAcentral